CAGACUCAGUGAGGCCAUGCUGAAUUCCCUCACACAAACCAGAGCUAAGAGCAGAAUGCUGCUGAAAAUCUGUGACCUGAAGACGGCUGUGCACAAGAAAUGCUCUCUAAAUCUGGCAGAUUUUGCCUGGUCAAGACAUAUUAUGCUGGUAGAUUUUUAACACAAGAGACUGAAUAUUGUGAUAAAAUCAAACAGUGCUGCAACAAAGUUUUAGUCAAGGGGUGUGCAUAUUCAUGCAACCGGGUUUUUUUCAUUUCUUAUUUUUUUUAUUAAGACCUCCCAAACAAUUUUAAAUCUACAAGGAAUUUUUCAGUUAAACAGUUUUUAUAACAAGUUAAAUCAAAGAGCAGAUCAUUCUUUGUGCUGGGAUGCUCGGUCUGUAGUGAAAAUCAAGGAGACACAGAUUUUUUCCAUCAGGGCUGGAAAGCUCACCGAGUCUGAAGGCUGACUUGCAGAGCUGAAACUCGUCACGCUGAUGGCGGCUGUGGUCUGGGCUGUUGGACGAGGGUGGAGGAGGCUCCCACAUCAACAGAUCGUUAUUAAUUCUUUUUUGGAAAAAGGGAAAGGACGCUCUGGAAGGCCUGCUUGCUGGGCAGGAGGAUGUAGGCCAGCGGCAGGCUGAUGUCCACAGCACACUGGCACUGAGCGACACACUGUGCCUGAAACUGACGCAUCUCCUCCGGAUCAGCUGGAAUCACCAUCUGGAACAAAGAAGGCGGAGAGUCGAGGAAAAUCAAGUCAGGUCCGUGAAGGAGGCCUCCAGCAGCUGAGUGAGGCAGGGAGCCCACGGCUGUCCAGGGGCAGUCUGCUCAGUCCGGAGGUCCGGAG
Molecule: long non-coding RNA, 828 nt
Organism: Cheilinus undulatus (humphead wrasse)
Lineage: Eukaryota; Metazoa; Chordata; Actinopteri; Labriformes; Labridae
Exons: 5
Source: RefSeq, a predicted model, not a curated record